This is a long non-coding RNA of Pezoporus flaviventris, 1531 nucleotides long. RefSeq lists it as uncharacterized. The transcript is spliced from 3 exons. Lineage: Eukaryota; Metazoa; Chordata; Aves; Psittaciformes; Psittacidae. The record is from RefSeq and is a predicted model, not a curated record.
AAAAUGGCUGCAGAAUGCAGAGCAAUAUUUUGCUUAUUUGAUUCUGUUUCUGUUACCCAGUUUCUUUUAAGGAUUUAGCUGGCUGAAAGAUUGAGAUGCAAUCAGCAAAACAGUCGUGAUGACAGAACAAAUGAAACCCACAGGUCCCAGUAACAAGCUUAGAGAUCUUGUGCCAGAGGAGCCAGUUCUGGCAGGUAUCAGGGGAGAGCAAAGCAGCAUUUCUGGAGAAGGGAAAAUGGGAGAGACCCAGCCUGUGUUUCCUGGGGUCCUGAAGCCUUCCUAUGAGAGGCAGAGGUACCUCAGUCCUGGAGGAUGUGGCUCCUGUGGGUAGACACAGCUCCCACCUGCCCAUAUGUAGACAUGGGUUCUGAACUACCAGGAGCUUAAGGACUUGGAAGUCUGUAAGAACUGAAUAUUUAAAACAUUGGGGAUUUUAUGUAGAAAUUCAGAGAUUUCCUAAAAAUGCUGCUAAAGCCUAAUGCAAGGGCUGGACAUUUUUCAAUAUAUAUGCUUGCUCUUUCCACCUUUAGAAGGAUCUAUCACUUCUCCUACAAAUUCCAGACUACAAAUACUAUGCUAAAAUAGGAUGAAGGUGCUGCAGGUGACUGGCCUCUUUUCAGUUUGCUUGAGAGAUCCUUUUUAGAACAAAUGAUGUUCAGAAGGGGCCUCAUCCCAUGGCAAAAGGAAACACAAUUAAGGGAAAAGAACUGCAUUUUGGUCCUUGUGACCCUGUAGUGUUGGCAAAUGCCCACAGCAGAAGUGUGGCUUCAGCUUUCCUUGAUGGCCCCAGCAGGGCUGACAAGGCCUAUUCCUCUCUGUCAGAAACUUCAUAGCCUGCUUUGAAAGUCCAAAAACUUUCUCUGCUGCCACUAAAGCCACAUUUUAAGCUGUGAGAGGCUUGGAUCUCUCCAGAAAACACAAAUAGGUGUAUGUCCUACCAUGGUGCAUGCUGUCUGGGACUUGUACCAGGCACACUGCUGCUACCCAGUAUGUGUCUGGUUUCAGGUCAUUAAAAGACAUCAACCAAUCUGUUACUUAGAUUCCAAUGGGUAUGAAUCAGAACACAGCCUCACCUGCUUCACAUGCUGCUGUUCCCUCUGCAGUAGCUCUCUGUGAGAUGGUACAUGUCAGGAGUCUGCCAAAUUUCAGUGGUGUUAAACUUCAUGAGCUCAUCAGAUGACUCUGUUUCAAGGACAUAAGAGACAGGUUGGUUUUCUUUCCCCGCCUCGUUACCUUACUCCUAGCCAUUCUGUGCAUCUUACAGGGUCUUUUGUAGCUUAAUGCAAUAAAUGCUUUGCUAGCAUGUUUCGUGGUAACACACAUGCACAGGUUUUGUGCUUCCUACCACCCGCCACUGUUCAUUUACACCAGGAAACAACUUUGCUUCACAAAUAUAUAAGAGAAAGUCAUUGCUCAACGUCACUGUCUCCUGAGUAGUUAUAUUAAGAAACGUCUAAUAGUGACCUGGAAAACAGGGAAUUUGUUUUAAGUAAGUAUUAUUAUCCUUCUGAUGCAAGUGGCUAAUGGAAGA